ACGCUAGCUACAGGCUUAACACAUGCAAGUCGAGGGGAAACGGCAUUUAGUGCUUGCACUGAAUGGACGUCGACCGGCGCACGGGUGAGUAACGCGUAUCCAACCUUCCCAUUACUUUGGGAUAACCUGCCGAAAGGCAGACUAAUACCUCAUAGUCUUCGAUGACGGCAUCAGAUUUGAAGUAAAGAUUUAUCGGUAAUGGAUGGGGAUGCGUCUGAUUAGCUUGUUGGCGGGGUAACGGCCCACCAAGGCAACGAUCAGUAGGGGUUCUGAGAGGAAGGUCCCCCACAUUGGAACUGAGACACGGUCCAAACUCCUACGGGAGGCAGCAGUGAGGAAUAUUGGUCAAUGGACGUAAGUCUGAACCAGCCAAGUAGCGUGCAGGAUGACGGCCCUAUGGGUUGUAAACUGCUUUUGUAUGGGGAUAAAGUCAAUCACGUGUGAUUGUUUGCAGGUACCAUACGAAUAAGGACCGGCUAAUUCCGUGCCAGCAGCCGCGGUAAUACGGAAGGUUCGGGCGUUAUCCGGAUUUAUUGGGUUUAAAGGGAGCGUAGGCCGGAGAUUAAGUGUGUUGUGAAAUGUAGACGCUCAACGUCUGAAUUGCAGCGCAUACUGGUUUCCUUGAGUACGCACAACGUUGGCGGAAUUCGUCGUGUAGCGGUGAAAUGCUGGAUAUGACGAAGAACUCCGAUUGCGAAGGCAGCUGACGGGAGCGCAACUGACGCUGAAGCUCGAAGGUGCGGGUAUCGAACAGGAUUAGAUACCCUGGUAGUCCGCACAGUAAACGAUGGAUGCCCGCUGUUGGUACCUAGUAUCAGCGGCUAAGCGAAAGCAUUAAGCAUCCCACCUGGGGAGUACGCCGGCAACGGUGAAACUCAAAGGAAUUGACGGGGGCCCGCACAAGCGG
RNAcentral lists this ribosomal RNA (907 nucleotides) under uncultured bacterium. Its description in RNAcentral is "bacterial SSU rRNA". It matches the Rfam family "Bacterial small subunit ribosomal RNA", at positions 33 to 932 of the family's 1533-position model. The record is from RNAcentral.